This 301-nucleotide ribosomal RNA is filed under the name uncultured bacterium. RNAcentral's name for it is "partial 16S ribosomal RNA". It matches the Rfam family "Bacterial small subunit ribosomal RNA", at positions 509 to 807 of the family's 1533-position model. The record is from RNAcentral.
CAGUAGCCACGGUAAUACGUAGGUGGCAAGCGUUGUCCGGAAUUAUUGGGCGUAAAGGGCUCGCAGGCGGUUUCUUAAGUCUGAUGUGAAAGCCCCCGGCUCAACCGGGGAGGGUCAUUGGAAACUAGGAAACUUGAGUGCAGAAGAGGAGAGUGGAAUUCCACGUGUAGCGGUGAAAUGCGUAGAGAUGUGGAGGAACACCAGUGGCGAAGGCGACUCUCUGGUCUGUAACUGACGCUGAGGAGCGAAAGCGUGGGGAGCGAACAGGAUUAGAUACCCGUGUAGUCCCUGUCUCUUAUAC